CAUCGCUCCUGACUGCUGAACUUUCUGGGCCGGAGCCUCUGAACCUUUCAAGCGUGAGAUGGAGCAAAGGGAGAAUCAAGACUCUGAAACAGAGGAGCCCCGAGGAUGAGAGAUGGAUAAAGAUCUUGGAAGUUUAUUCAUGGGAUGAUAAUACAUUUUAUGGUGAUUUGACUAAGAAUAAAUGGAAAGCCAAAGGUUCACUGCUAUAGGACAUCAUAUUUAAAUCACCUAACAUGCUAAUCGAGCUGAUUCUAAUAAAUGAUUGCAGAUAG
This is a long non-coding RNA of Micropterus salmoides (largemouth bass), 272 nucleotides long. RefSeq lists it as uncharacterized. The transcript is spliced from 2 exons. The record is from RefSeq and is a predicted model, not a curated record. NCBI's taxonomy places the organism in Eukaryota, Metazoa, Chordata, Actinopteri, Centrarchiformes, Centrarchidae.